RNAcentral lists this ribosomal RNA (403 nucleotides) under Verrucomicrobiota bacterium. Its description in RNAcentral is "Verrucomicrobia bacterium partial 16S ribosomal RNA". It matches the Rfam family "Bacterial small subunit ribosomal RNA", at positions 355 to 776 of the family's 1533-position model. The record is from RNAcentral. Lineage: Bacteria; Pseudomonadati; Verrucomicrobiota.
UGGGGAAUAUUGUACAAUGGGCGCAAGCCUGAUGCAGCAACGCCGCGUGAACGAUGAAGGUCUUCGGAUCGUAAAGUUCUGUUGCAGGGGAAGAUAAUGACGGUACCCUGUGAGGAAGCCCCGGCUAACUACGUGCCAGCAGCCGCGGUAAUACGUAGGGGGCUAGCGUUAUCCGGAUUUACUGGGCGUAAAGGGUGCGUAGGUGGUCUUUCAAGUCGGUGGUUAAAGGCUACGGCUCAACCGUAGUUAGCCUCCGAAACUGGAAGACUUGAGUGCAGGAGAGGAAAGUGGAAUUCCCAGUGUAGCGGUGAAAUGCGUAGAUAUUGGGAGGAACACCAGUAGCGAAGGCGGCUUUCUGGACUGCAACUGACACUGAGGCACGAAAGCGUGGGUAGCAAACAGG